CCGCGAAAUAACGACCGUGCUGAAUCGAAUGAUGCUAAACACGCAAGAGACUGCGGCGGACUUCGGUCCAAGCAGUUUUGAGUCUGUGACCCGAUUUCGUAUUAGGCAAGCUGCGGAGGGACGCAGGAAGGUAGCCCAUCCCGGGCGAUGGUAGUCCCGGACUAAGUGCGUAGGGAGAGAUGUAGGCAAAUCCGCAUCUCACAUAUCCUGAGACAUGACGGCGAGGAAGUCUCUGACUUCUGAAGUGGGUGAUCCUAUGCUGCCUAGAAAAUCUUCGUUAGCGAGUUAUCAGCGGCCCGUACCCUAAACCGACACAGGUGGAUAGGUAGAGAAUACCAAGGCGAUCGAGAGAAUCAUGGUGAAGGAACUCGGCAAAAUACCCCCGUAACUUCGGGAUAAGGGGGACCUAAUUUGUGAUGGCACUUGCUGCCUGAGCAUUGAGGGUCGCAGAGACCAGGCCCAAGCGACUGUUUACUAAAAACACAGGUCCGUGCCAAGUUGAAAGACGAUGUAUACGGACUGACUCCUGCCCGGUGCUGGAAGGUUAAGGGGAAGUGUCAGCGCAAGCGAAGCACCGAACUUAAGCCCCAGUAAACGGCGGUGGUAACUAUAACCAUCCUAAGGUAGCGAAAUUCCUUGUCGGGUAAGUUCCGACCUGCACGAAUGGAGUAACGACUUGGGCGCUGUCUCCACCAUGAACUCGGCGAAAUUGCACUAUGAGUAAAGAUGCUCAUUACGCGCAGCAGGACGGAAAGACCCCGGGACCUUUACUAUAGUUUGGUAUUGGUGUUCGGUACAGCUUGUGUAGGAUAGGUGGGAGACUGUGAAGCAUGGACGCCAGUUCGUGUGGAGUCAACGUUGAAAUACCACUCUGGCUGUUCUGGAUAUCUAACCUAGGUCCAUUAUCUGGAUCAGGGACAGUGCCUGAUGGGUAGUUUGACUGGGGCGGUCGCCUCCCAAAAUGUAACGGAGGCGCCCAAAGGUUCCCCCAGCCUGGUUGGCAAUCAGGUUUUGAGUGUAAGUGCACAAGGGAGCUUGACUGUGAGAGGGACACCUCGAACAGGGACGAAAGUCGGGACUAGUGAUCUGACGGUGGCAUGUGGAAGCGCCGUCACUCAACGGAUAAAAGGUACCCCGGGGAUAACAGGCUGAUCUUGCCCGAGCGUCCAUAGCGACGGCAUGGUUUGGCACCUCGAUGUCGGCUCGUCGCAUCCUGGGGCUGGAGUCGGUCCCAAGGGUUGGGCUGUUCGCCCAUUAAAGCGGCACGCGAGCUGGGUUUAGAACGUCGUGAGACAGUUCGGUCCCUAUCCGCUGCGCGCGUAGGAAUCUUGAGAGAGGCUGUCCUUAGUACGAGAGGACCGGGACGGACAAACCUCUGGUGUGCCAGUUGUUCUGCCAAGGGCACGGCUGGUUGGCUACGUUUGGAAGUGAUAACCGCUGAAAGCAUCUAAGCGGGAAGCACGUCUCAAGAUGAGGGUUCCCACAGAAUAAUCUGGUAAGGCCCCCGGAAGACCAC
RNAcentral lists this ribosomal RNA (1516 nucleotides) under metagenome. Its description in RNAcentral is "bacterial LSU rRNA". It matches the Rfam family "Bacterial large subunit ribosomal RNA", at positions 1355 to 2848 of the family's 2925-position model. The record is from RNAcentral.